CCUACGGGCGGCAGCAGUAGGGAAUAUUGCUCAAUGGGGGAAACCCUGAAGCAGCAACGCCGCGUGGAGGAUGAAGGUUUUCGGAUUGUAAACUCCUUUCGUUAGAGAAGAUAAUGACGGUAUCUAACGAAUAAGCACCGGCUAACUCCGUGCCAGCAGCCGCGGUAAUACGGAGGGUGCAAGCGUUACACGGAAUCACUGGGUGUAAAGAGCGCGUAGGCGGGAUAGCAAGUCAGAUGUGAAAUCCUAUGGCUUAACCAUAGAACUGCAUUUGAAACUGUUUUUCUAGAGUGUGGGAGAGGUAGGUGGAAUUCUUGGUGUAGGGGUGAAAUGCGUAGAGAUCAGGAGGAAUACUCGUGGCGAAGGCGACCUGCUGGAACGUAACUGACGCUGAUGCGCGAAAGCGUGGGGAGCAAACAGGAUUAGAUACCCGGGUAGUC
Molecule: ribosomal RNA, 440 nt
Filed under: uncultured bacterium
Lineage: Bacteria
Description: partial 16S ribosomal RNA
Rfam family: Bacterial small subunit ribosomal RNA
Source: RNAcentral